AAAAUUCAAAAAAUUGGAAAUUUUCAUUUUUCGAUUUUUUUGAAAAAAU
RNAcentral lists this small RNA (49 nucleotides) under Caenorhabditis elegans. RNAcentral describes it as "Unclassified non-coding RNA H11E01.4". The record is from RNAcentral. Lineage: Eukaryota; Metazoa; Nematoda; Chromadorea; Rhabditida; Rhabditidae.